UUAGCACGCCGAGCGAAAUGCGUCGCCGUAUUUCGUCUGCCGUUACGUUCUGAGUUCAAAUUCCACCGAGGUCGAAUUUGCAUUGCAUCACUUCGCGGUCGAUAAAUUAAGUAUCAGUUGCGUACUGUGGUCGAUCUAAUCGACUGCCCCCCCCCC
Molecule: long non-coding RNA, 156 nt
Organism: Octopus sinensis (East Asian common octopus)
Lineage: Eukaryota; Metazoa; Mollusca; Cephalopoda; Octopoda; Octopodidae
Exons: 2
Source: RefSeq, a predicted model, not a curated record